GCCCUGUGGUGUAUAGCACAUAAAAUUGCAAAUCUUAAAGAGCAAAUGACUUCUGCCGGGGCUU
RNAcentral lists this transfer RNA (64 nucleotides) under Desmognathus auriculatus. RNAcentral describes it as "tRNA-Cys". RNAcentral also lists the same sequence under 2 other names. The record is from RNAcentral. Lineage: Eukaryota; Metazoa; Chordata; Amphibia; Caudata; Plethodontidae.